CCUACGGGAGGCUGCAGUGGGGAAUAUUGCACAAUGGGGGAAACACUGAUGCAGCGACGCCGCGUGAGUGAAGAAGUAUCUCGGUACGUAAAGCUCUAUCAGCAGGGAAGAAAAUGACGGUAACUGACUAAGAAGCCCCGGCUAAAUACGUGUCAGCAGCCGCGGUAAUACGUUGGGGGCAAGCGGUAUCCGGAUUUACUGGGUGAAAAGGGAGCGGAGACGGCAGCACAAGUCUGGAGUGAAAUCCCGGGGCUUAACCCCGGAACUGCUUUGGAUACUGUGCGGCUGGAGUGCAGGAGGGGUAAGCGGAAUUCCUAGUGUAGCGGUGAAAUGCGUAGAUAUUAGGAGGAACACCGGUGGCGAAGGCGGCCUGCUGGACUGUUACUGACGUUGAGGCCCGAAGGCGUGGGGAGCAAACAGGAUUAGAUACCCGUGUAGUC
Molecule: ribosomal RNA, 440 nt
Filed under: uncultured bacterium
Lineage: Bacteria
Description: partial 16S ribosomal RNA
Rfam family: Bacterial small subunit ribosomal RNA
Source: RNAcentral